CACAGCCCGACCCAGUUGUACCAAAGCAUAUUUCUAAACCCUCUUGCUUAUCCUCGCCAUAGAUGUCCGGCGUCAACCAAGAGCCAUGCUCCUCCCCGUUCUACACAAUUUCAGUAAUCCCCUCUUAAACCCUAAACCCAACGUAAUCCUCACUGUCCCUAUUCGUACUUCCCUCUUUUCAUCCCUCUCCUUCCUCCGCUCUUUCACUAUCUCUCUCUCUCACCACCACCACCACCUACGAUGCCGCUAUCUCUACACACGGCACCACCUUUUUCUUCUCCCUGCCCCCACAUCCUCCUUUACCCUUCUAAAUCUUCACCCAUUUCAGUGUGUAAACCGUUUUAGUACUUCCACCGAACAGUUGGCGUCCGAAUCCCUUUCUCCUUCCGAAUCGGAAGAGAAAGGGGACUUCUCAAGCUACAGCGAGAACGAAAAUGACAUUUUGAAAUUCGACGGCGACCCGGGAUAUUUGGGCUCCGGUGGAGAUAUGAAGCACAUGAAUUCGCCAGCGAUUGUGGUGAGGGAGUUGGAAGAGUUGCCGGAGCAAUGGAGGCGGGCGAGAUUGGCCUGGCUGUGUAAACAAUUGCCGGCGCACAAGGCGGGAACUUUGUUGAGGAUACUUAAUGCCCAGAAAAAGUGGAUGAGGCAGGAGGAUGCUACCUAUGUUGCGUUUCAUUGUAUGCGCAUUCGCGAAAACGAGGCUGGGUUUAGGGUGUAUAAAUGGAUGAUGCAGCAACACUGGUAUCGAUUUAAUUUUGCUCUGGCUACAAAGCUUGCAGAUUACAUGGGUAAGGAACGAAAAUUUGCAAAAUGCAGGGAGAUAUUUGAUGAUAUCAUCAAUCAGGGACGUGUGCCUUGUGAGUCCACUUUUCACAUUUUGGUCAUCGCAUAUCUUAGUGCACCAGUUCAUGGUUGCUUGGAAGAAGCAUGUAGCAUAUACAAUCGCAUGAUUCAGUUGGGAGGUUACCAGCCACGACUCAGUUUGCACAAUUCUCUUUUUAGAGCUCUUGUGAGCAAACCAGGAGGUACUUCAAAACAUUAUCUCAAGCAGGCUGAGUUUAUUUUUCAUAAUUUGGUGACAUCUGGACUUGAGAUACAGAAGGAUAUUUAUUGUGGCCUAAUUUGGCUACAUAGCUAUCAGGACAACAUAGAUAAACAAAGGAUUGCAUCACUAAGGGAAGAGAUGAAGCAAGCAGGAAUAGAGGAGGGCAGGGAAGUGCUUGUAUCUAUUUUGAGAGCAUGCUCGAGGGAGGGUGAUGUGGAGGAAGCAGAAAGAACUUGGCUCAAACUCCUUAGCAUUGAUGGCGAUCUCCCCACACAAGCUUUUGUGUACAGGAUGGAAGUCUUUGCUAAGGUUGGAGAGCAUAUGAAAUGUUUGGAAAUAUUCAGGGAAAUGCAGGAACGUUUGGGUUGUGCUACUGUUGCAGCAUAUCAUAAAAUCAUGGAAGUGUUAUGUCAAGCUCAGGACGUGGAAUUGGCGGAAUUGCUCAUGCAAGAGUUCAUUGAGAGUGGUAUGAAGCCCCUUAUGCAAGGUUUUAUUUAUCUAAUGAAUAUGUACCUUUAUUUAAAUUUGCAUGAUAAAUUGAAGUCAGCUUUCUCUGCAUGCCUUGAGACCUGUCAACCAAACCGGACUAUUUGCAAU
This 1642-nucleotide unclassified non-coding RNA is filed under the name Hevea brasiliensis (rubber tree). The record is from RNAcentral. Lineage: Eukaryota; Viridiplantae; Streptophyta; Magnoliopsida; Malpighiales; Euphorbiaceae.